Molecule: non-coding RNA, 7257 nt
Organism: Anas platyrhynchos (mallard)
Lineage: Eukaryota; Metazoa; Chordata; Aves; Anseriformes; Anatidae
Source: RefSeq, a predicted model, not a curated record
ACAGCGGGGCGGGCGGGCUGCGCAUGCGCCUCCUCCGGCGGGCCACAACCCGCGUGGAGGCGGUGGGCGGGGCGGGAGAGGGCGGCCUUGCUGAGGGGGCGGGGCUAUGAGGAGCCCCCGCCCCGUGCCGGGCCCCGCCCCGUGCCGGGCCCCGCCCCGUCAGUCCGGCGCCGGCCCGCGGCGGGGCCGCAAGUUGCCCGGGACGGCGGCGGGGGCGGCUCCGCGAGGCUCGGUUCGGCCCGGCCCGGCCCGCGGGGAGAGGGGGACGGCCGUUGGCACGGAGCUCCCCCGCGGAGGGGACCGGGGGCUGCCGAGGCUGCCGGGGUCCGAGGGGAUGCGAGCUGCGGGCCGGCCCCGCCGCGGCGUGGCGCGGGGGAGGUCGGGCCGGGCCGGGCCCUGCGGCGCUGAGGAGCUGGAGCCCCGUCCCGUCCCGUCCCGUCCCGUCCCGUCCCGUCCCGCCGGCCCGGAGCCUUCCGGGAUGGAUCAUUUCUGUCAGCAGGUGCAGCAGAAGGACGUGGGCCGCAGGCUGCAGGUCGGGCAGGAGCUGCUCGAGUACCUGCGCGACCCCGCGGCGUCCCCGGACGUGGAGCAGGACCCGCAGCGGCUCGACAAAGUGAUCGACGAGCUGGCGGCGUGGGUCAACUCCAGCAACUUCAAGGUGCGGGGCGGGGAGGGGCCGGGGCGCUCCUUGGCCACACGGACAGGCCGGCGUCUGGCCCGGCCUCCUGCCCUUCCUCCCCCGGAGACUCGGGAAUCUGGCCUGGCUUUGGCUAACACUUCUCGCUUUCUGUUCCUUUUAUCGUUGCCUGAACAUUGCAGCACAUUCCCUCUUGGGGGACACCCCCCCAACUGUUUCCUUAGCCUGACAUAGCAUGGCUAUAACAUAGCUAGUAAUUCUUUUUUUGCUACCCCUCCCAUUCCCUUCCCGUGCUGGGCUCUCUGCGCUUGGUGUAAUGUUUCCUGGGAUUCCCAGGAUUUCCUGCAGGCCCUAAAGAGUCUUUUUCACUGUGUUCGUAUUUCUCUCUGUUUAAUGACUGAAUUGCUUCCUCGGGUUCCAGUUGUAAAUUUAAAGUUUUUCUAUCGCUUUUAGGUGGCUUUUCCGUAGACGAGAAGUUACACGGUAUUUUUAUAGGUACCCGAUGAUGACUCAUGUUUGGCUUUUUUUCCUGGUGCGCUUUUGGCUGACAUACAGGAAAACAGUAUUUACGGUGGACACGUGGGGAAGUAAUAUUUGUCAAAUUUUCUGCUGUUGGUCAGCCGAUAACGAUAGACAAUGUAGCUUUAUUACCAAGCGCGAUCGCAUUCGUCUUAGCGCUUUAUUUUAUUUUUUUAUUUUUUCCUGCUGUAUGUAACUGUCGCUGGUCUGCACUCCCGUCAUCUGGUGGCGGUGUUGAUCUGUACUGCUGAGCUCAGGUCUGGCAGCAGGGCAAGAGCCGCCCUUCCUGCUGCGCAGAGUCCAGAGUUGCUGUCUUGUCUCCUAAGACACUUGUCCUUAGGACCUCUGGACUUAGUGCAUGGAGGUUAUGGUAUUUUUUUUUUCCUAUUUCUGUAAUCUAUGGAGGAAAACAUAGGAACACCUUGCAAAGGCAGUGUGUUUGUGAAAUACUUACUUUUACUCCUUAGGUUUGACAAUGCUGUGUACUUGGCUGUGUUUGCACAUAGCACUUCUAAGUUUGAGGCCUGAAAAUGAUCAGGCUCAGCUGUAUUUGCAUGUAUCUCGCUUUUUUUUUUUUUUUUUGAGCAAAUUUGUUCCUAAAGGUCGGGUUAGUUACAGGGAGUAAUGUGGGUUGGAUAAAGAUGAUUUACUUGCUUUUGAAUUCUUAAUAUGAGGAUAGUUGUUGGCAGUUGAUAAAUGUCAAAGCUAGGCAAGUUAUUUUAAAACAUCCUUAGGUGUAAAGAGGAACUGUUUAGUCACUUCUCUCAGUAGGAUAACAUAAAAGUUGUUUCCUGCAUUUUAAAUAAUGAAAUUGGGAAUUGAAAAGGAAAUGUCAAGGUGUUGUGGUGGUCGUUUCUUUUUAUCUUUGUAAAGCAAGUCAUUCUGGUUGCUGUUGAUGCAAGGUAAUAGUGAUGUUGGCUGUUAGGACUGCACAACAAAGAAGGAAUGUACAGUAGGCCAGAUAACCUCAUAUUUUGACUGAGGCUUGGGAAGGUUAUUAUAAAAUCUUAUAAUUUAUAAUUGUAAUUCUUAUUAUAUAACAAUUAUAAUUCUAUAAGUAGAUUUCUAUAAAUUACGAUGAUUAUCAUAAUUCUUACUAUAUUCUUACAGUCUCCUUUUCUGUGUGUCACCUGUUGGUGGCUCUGUAUACAUAUAAAACUGCAUUUUAAAGCAUAUUGUACAUGCAGUAUUAAUGGCAACAGCACGAGGUGUUGGAUUUUUUGUUUGCAAUCAGUUCUGGUGUCCCUAUCUAUGAUGGUGUUGUUUGGCAUCUGAUGUUUCCAAAUGAAAAUAAGGAACAUUCUGGAAAACAUCUAAAAUUCAUAUUUCAUCUUAAACAAGCAUGGAUGUUACAUGCAGUGGGACUUGAUCUUCGUAGCUCCCUUCCAAGUGAAGUAUCCUGUCCAAUGUUUAACUGCUAGGUCUUAGUUUGUUGGUAAGCUCAGGGCCUGAAUGAUGACAGAAGAUAAUGAGUGUCACAGGCUUGUAUGUAUUCUCGAGACAAGUAUUUCAGUAGACUUUGUUUUUAAUUAUGGUAUUUCUGUUGAUUUGUUGGAUGCCUUUUUGUCUGAUGAGGAAUAAGUAUUCCUAGAAAAUCCUACUUACCAUCUUUCUUCCUAUGUUGUCUUGGAGGUCUUCAAAGUCCUGAAGUAAUGAAUCCCUCCCAGUUUGCAUGGCAGUUUAAUUGGGUGAUGGUUAUGGCUGGCAAUUCACUUAUUUGUCAGAACUGCUGAGCUAGAUGAACUGGAGUUACAAGCAGGGGAUAUUUAGAGAAAGUUACAAGAGGGUGCAUUAUUUUCUUGGAGGUGACAGGUAUGGAUAAUGAGGCAGUAACUAACAUAACUUGCCCUGGACGGGCUAUAUUUUUUCCCACUCCACCAAGUGGGAAACUUCAGUUCUUCUACAUGAAGUGCUCCAUCUGAACAUCCUGAAAAAGAAGAGAGAUCUGGCAGCUCUUGGUUCUUCUCUGUGCAAUGUCUGAGAAGACACGACAUCCUAUGAGAGUUUCUGCCUCAAGUAACCACAAGGAGAGGAACUGGAGGAAAUAGGAACAGAAGGGCUGAUUUGGCAGACUUGGUAACGAAUGAAAAGAGAUGAGGGGUUCAGUAAGCAAGUGUGGACUUGUUAUCGGCAGGGUUGAAUUGAGGUCGAAAUCUUUUUGCUACAAGUGCUUUUGCUUUUUGGAAGUUCGCAGCUAUUCAUAGCAGUUUACUAAGCAAAACUCAAACGGUAGUUCCAAACUAUAAAAGCUGAUCAGGAAAAUGUCUGCGUUCAUCUUUCUCAUUGGAGAGGAGAGCAGUUACCAGUUGGAGCUGCUGACAAAUCAGUAAGGUGGGAUUAAGAACAUGCAUUGAUUCAGCUAUGAAUGGCAUGGAGUGAACGUUUGUUGCAGAACACUGCAAGCCUCCUAGAGAGGGAGAUGAGCUGUCAUCCCAGGCUGUCUGUAAGGGGUGUCCUGGGGACUUGAGUUGGGGUGUCCACUGUGCAACCAGCGAUGUAGCAGCUUCCAAAGAUGCUCGGAAACUUGUCAAUACCAGGGAAUACCCAGAAGAGGUGCACAAUUAAACCUUUUCAUUUCGGACCUCAUUACAAUCACAAAGUUGCCCACUGAACUGGAAAUUGUUUGCCUAGCAUCCUGGUGCUAUGAUUUGUUUUAAUAUACAGUGGCUGUGACUUUGAUUUGUUGUUGCAACCUAAAAGUUUUUCAUGAUUUUGUGUUUUUUAAGUGGCCGUUUUCCCAACGCUGCGAACAAUAGUGGGGAAAAAAUGAAGGGGAAUGAAUUAAUGAAUUCUGAUUUUAUUUAUUUAUUUAUUUAUUUAUUUUAAAGAGAAGUUGGAUGCAGAGUAUUGAGAGUUGGCUGAUGGCAUUACUUCACUGGUAUUCAUUUUCCUCAGACUUAGAAAUACCUGUCAGACUCAGAAAACUGGAGCAGUGAUAAUAUUUGUGAUAAUACUUCUGGGUAUCUUGAAGCAGUGAACUGAUGACUUCUGGAGUGUCCCAUCCUUUUAUUACUAACAUAUAUAAUCACUGGCUUUAUGGGACUAACCUGGAUGUUCUUCUUGAUGAAUAUAUGAGAAUAAAACAUCACUGGUCUUGUGUCAGAGCAGUAGAUUUUUUUUUCCAUGUGUUUUUUUGCAAAGCAGGUUUCAGUAAUGAAGGAGAAAUUGGAAUGGCAAUUAAGCAAAAAGGCUAUGUAACAGCUAGAACCACCGGUGAAUGAGGUGGGAGCUGAAGUUGAAAGGCAUUUGAACAAAAAGGAGUGAGCAGCAGUGACGCAGAGUGGAGACAGACAGAGGACCAGAUGCUGAAGUGCUGUUCCCAUUGCUGCCCUUGUGUGUUGGAGGACAGAUGCAACAUGUGAAAUACCUCUGAUAAACCUCGGAGAACUCAUGAAUGUGCAUUUAUGUUUUCAUGCAUGAAAGGAGUGCCCUCAAACUAUAAAGUCGUUCAACAGAUUCACCACCGCACAGGGAAGGAAAUCAGCUCUUUCGACUCUGCCCCUGAGACAAAUCCCCAGGAGACAAAUCAUUCGCUUUGUUUACAAGCUUUCUGAUGCCUCCGGCUGCUGUGUUCAUGCCCUUCCCCAGCCAAAAUGGAGCCAGGUGGAGAGAAAGUGAGGCUGUAGACCCAGAGAACUCCCUCUUACAGGGUUUGGAGAGCAGAGAAAGUAUCAGAGAAAAGCAGGAGCAUCUCUUCCUUGGUCUGUUUUGCACCCUUUUGGUAUGUACUUACCCCAAUGUUUGAUGAUUGUUAAUGCAAGUGUUCCCAUGCUGUGGAUUUUACUUUCAUAGUAGGAGGUUAAAGUUUCAGCUUCUGAUGGAUGUAGCUUUUUGUAACUAUCAAUAAAAGCAGUGGAUGAAGGUGAAGUCCUUGAACUCUAAAUUGGCUAAGAUCCAACUAUUGAAUCGGCUUGCGUUGGUGUGCUACAGUUUAUAAUUAGUCUAAUCUCUGAUAGAUUAUAAUUAAUCUCUGUAAGGACAGAAAUUAGACAAGUGGUGCUGAGACUGCUGAAUCAUGUGAUAAUGGUCAUAGGGAAGAGUAUCAGAAUUUUGUUGCUAGGAUAGCACCCCUCUUCUGGAGGAGGAAGUGUUGUCUCUUUCCUGAUGGUAACAACUUUUCGUGGCAGGACAGCCAGUCUUCAUCACUGGAGAAAUGUGUCUGUAAAACCAGUGUGUCUCCUACUUCAUGCAACAAACAGAAUAUAGAAGACCACUCAUUUGGAUGCCAGACAAACAUGCUAACCCCUUGCAGCUGGGUUGUGAUGAGAAGGAUUUUGCUUGUUAUUUUUUCUGACAAUGCUUAGGUAGUUCUGGGUACACAAAAUUUAUGGAGUCCAUAAGACUUCUGCUCUCCUCCCUUGCUUGUGAGGAGGGUGGACUUUGUGUUGUGAAAGACAGGUUUUUACACUGUAAACUAGCUGUGAUGCAGCUACAUCACCAAGGCUUAGGAAAACAAGUUUAUUUUGCUCCUUUUGAUGGUGCUUAAUUGAGAGGGGCUCAUGGACCUUGUUUUUCAUUCCAAGAAAAACUGUUUCUAUUCUUAUAGUGGAAGGAACUACAUAAUGUACCUAAUGCUGAGCUAGCUGUUGUAUUGCCUGAUACUGCUUCUCAGGAAAGUCACAUUAAAACCAUUAUAAGACUUGUGGCCAACCCAGGACUUCUGCUAGAGCAGGACAGUGGACCUCUUCCACUUGUAUAACCGGUGCUUGACAGGCAACUUGUUUUCUGUGGCAUGAGUCUGGGCUGGAACGGAUGGAAACAGUAAACUAAAAUAGAUAACUCUUGGGAUAAUGUGGUGAAAAUUACAUGAAGUAGCACCUGUUACAGUACCAAGUAAAUUUGUGGGACCUUCACCUCUCUAGCAUUUUGCCUGGUCACACUUUUAUCCCUCUUCCUCAGUGACAGGCAUCUUAGAGGACACUGCCCCAGAGAAGCUGCUUGCUGGUCAUGAUGCACCGCCUGGGUGAUUUUAUUUUCUGCAGCUGAGGUUGUGGUAAUUUGUCCUGUCCCUGCUCCUGCCUUCUUCCCCACAGCCCUGUUGCAUGCUGUUCUACUCCCAUCACCCUGUAAGCUCACAACAAAGCCUUUCACUAGGGAAUGAAGGGACUCUCCCAGUGUCUCCUCCUGUCUCCAUAAGGUCCUGUGCCAAUUCUGUUAUGGGGCUCAGCAGUAUGACUGUGUAAACUUGCUUGUGGUUGAAAUUAUGUCCUCAUAAUCCCAAUAACGGGGGUGGUGGGACCAUUUAAACAUUAACUGUUGUGUGAUGGGCAUAAGGGGUAAUUAUGGCAGGGUGUUUUUAUCUAAACAAACAUUCUCUUAUGAACUUACAUAAGCAUACUUGAUAAGGGGGGAAAAAAAUUAGAUUUUAAAAGAAUUAAAUUCUUAGCACAGAUUUUAAUUUGGAAUGAUGCCCUUCCCUGCCCCAACCAAACAGAGUAUCUGCAUACUUAAACUGGAAGGUGACUGGGGCUAAUGAGACCCUUGUUCUGCUCUUGGUUGUGCUUCUGGCUGGCAGGCUGAACUUCUUCAGGCAGCCUCCCUUUUCCCCACUUAAAAAGGGUAUAAAAUGAUAUUGACCCAAUUGGCAAAGUGUGUUGAGGUGGCAGCUUCGCUUCUCUGAGGAACUUGUGGCAGGUCAGAGGCUUGAUAACAGCCAAGAACAAAGAUGAGGUGUCAUCUGGUGUGCAUAUGGAAGCGCUCCCACUACAGACACUAUUUGGCAUACAAGACCUGAGCUAAGCACUUCACGUGAAAGCUCCUAUUGUAUGAAUAUUCUUAUCCUAUGUCCUGAUAAAAAUGUGUUAUUUUGAAACCUUUUGCUGGUAACAGCAAAACCUUUUGCUGGUAACAAAACCAGUUAUGUCCUGCUCAUGCUUUCUAAUGACAUGGUUCGAAACCUUGUAUGUGGACACACUCCGACCUUAACUGGUACUCAGACUGUGGUCUUCCAUGAAAACACAUAGCUGUCACUUGAAUCACGGAAUCACAGAAUUUCUAGGUUGGAAGAGACCUCACGAUCAUCGAGUCCAACCUCUGACCUAACGCUAACAGUCCCCACUAAACCAUAUCCCUAAGCUCUACAUCUAAACAUCUUUUAAAGA